GUGCCGCCGCCGCGGUAAUACCGGCAGCCCAAGUGAUGGCCGCUGUUAUUGGGCCUAAAGCGUCCGUAGCUGGCCGCACAAGUCCGUCGGGAAAUCCGCCCGCUUAACGGGUGGGCGUCCAGCGGAAACUGUCCGGCUUGGAGCCGGAAGACCUGAGGGGUACGUCCGGGGUAGGAGUGAAAUCCUGUAAUCCUGGACGGACCGCCGGUGGCGAAAGCGCCUCAGGAGGACGGACUCGACAGUGAGGGACGAAAGUCAGGGUCUCCAACCGGAUUAGAAACCCUUGUAGUCC
This 292-nucleotide ribosomal RNA is filed under the name uncultured bacterium. RNAcentral describes it as "partial 16S ribosomal RNA". It matches the Rfam family "Archaeal small subunit ribosomal RNA", at positions 455 to 747 of the family's 1478-position model. The record is from RNAcentral.